Molecule: ribosomal RNA, 254 nt
Filed under: uncultured bacterium
Lineage: Bacteria
Description: partial 16S ribosomal RNA
Rfam family: Bacterial small subunit ribosomal RNA
Source: RNAcentral
UACGGAGGGUGCGAGCGUUGUCCGGAAUCACUGGGCGUAAAGGGCGCGUAGGUGGCCUGUUGAAGUCUGCGGUGAAAGCCCGGCGCUCAACGCCGGGUCGGCCGUGGAUACUCUCGGGCUCGAGCUUACUAGAGGCAGAUGGAAUUCCGGGUGUAGCGGUGGAAUGCGUAGAGAUCCGGAAGAACACCGGUGGCGAAGGCGGCCUGCUGGGCAGUAGCUGACGCUGAAGCGCGACAGCGUGGGGAGCAAACAGG